Molecule: long non-coding RNA, 1124 nt
Filed under: Anas zonorhyncha (Eastern spot-billed duck)
Lineage: Eukaryota; Metazoa; Chordata; Aves; Anseriformes; Anatidae
Description: lncRNA (ENSAZOG00000006320.1)
Source: RNAcentral
UGCAGAUUUAACUGCUUGCGUUAAUGAGGCCACCUGCAAGAGGAGAAACAGAGGGGGAGCUACAUGAGUCAGAGGGAGGCCUCAGAAGCUGGAAGCCCCGGCCAGGUGCCCGAACCUGAAAGUUUUGGGGUUGGGGUUUUCCCCCUCAGUCUCUGCAGAGUCCAGCCUGGACUGGAGGUUAAUUCCUGGCUCAGUCCCUCUACUCUGCUGUAACACUCUUCUUUAGUGAAAUUACACCAGUAGUGAGAAAAAGUUCUGCCAAUAUUUUAACUCAAAUCAUUUCUUGCCACCUCUAUAACCCUUGAUGAUUGCAUUGGGAUCUAUUCAGAAUAACCGUAAUUUAGUAAAUGCUAUGUUUGCCAUUCCUAAGUGUAGCAUUAUACAAACUUAGAUUAGAUAAUUCCCUGCCCAGUUAUGGGUGCCAACAGGCUGGUCAGAAAUUUUCAGAGGUGUUUUUUUUUUUUUUUUUCUUUUCUUUGUUUCUUUUUCACAUGCUGUAACUAAACUUGGCCAUUUUAACUGUAUAAGUAACAAACUGGUUGCUACUUUCAGGACAAAUUUGGUAAAUUCUUAGUUAUUACAUUAGUCUGAGAGAUCUUCUACUGCUGGCCUUUGGGAAAAGCAGACCUGGCAAUGGUGUGAAGCAGAGACCCCGAUAAGACCCUCAGCAAAAGUGCUCCUGAAAAAUAACUUCCAAAGAGAUUUCACAUGGGAGAUGCCACCAGGAGGUGGCUGAGGGGUGUUGCAGAGGUCAGCCUUAGAACUGAGGCUUGUUCCUUUCCUGAGCUCUCUUCUGAAAGAGACACAGCAGGAGUGGGGAAGGUGAGCCUCAGCAGCUUUAAAUGAGCUCUGUGGCACACCUGUGAGACUUCACCUUCAGCAGGUCCCAGCACAGGUGCUGCAAGAGGCGGUGUCCCAGCAUCACCAAGAGGGAAUGGAGGAGCUGUGGAUGUUUUUGUCCUCAACACAUGGGAUUGCCCUGGUACUUUCCUCCUUUGAUAAAAGCAGGUGUGAUACUGCUCCUCACGGGGCUGUUUGUUGAAGAAAAGAAAUUCCAGCUGUGUAUCUUGAAAUGCACUACGUUCACGGAGAUACUGGAGAACGUAUCCUUCACCUUUCAGUGA